CAGAGUUAUACAACUCCCAUACCAUCUGUGAACCUACCCAGUUAUGCCUCGGCGUAAGCUCGGUUGGAGGCACCCGCAGCUACCCUGUCGCUUGCUACCCUGUAGCUAGCUACCCUGAAGUUGCGGGCUGCCACAUCCAGCCGCGGCCCGCCGGCGGUACACGAAACUCUGUUUUAUUGUAUCUUCUGAGCGUCUUAUUUUAAUAAGUUA
RNAcentral lists this unclassified non-coding RNA (210 nucleotides) under uncultured Arthrinium. Its description in RNAcentral is "sequence contains ITS1". The record is from RNAcentral. Lineage: Eukaryota; Fungi; Ascomycota; Sordariomycetes; Amphisphaeriales; Apiosporaceae.